Non-coding RNA from Phascolarctos cinereus (koala), 984 nucleotides. NCBI's taxonomy places the organism in Eukaryota, Metazoa, Chordata, Mammalia, Diprotodontia, Phascolarctidae. The record is from RefSeq and is a predicted model, not a curated record.
AGCUGCUCAUAUGAUGUCAAGGGGCAGCCUUCGAUCUCCAGAUUCUGCUGCCUGGAGUGCCCUUUCCCAGUGAUGGCAAAGUCGAGGAAGACAUGGAGUCGUGACUACUUGGGUGUCUGCUCCUUCACACAAUGAUCAAAUUCCACGACUGACCAUGAGCGAAAGAGAUGCCAGCUUGGUGGAGACCUCUGAGAAGAGAGGCGCUAGCUCAGUUCCUUAAUACUUUGCAGACAGACGUAUGAGUGACAGGGAGUGUUCCGGCAUCUUGGGGAUCGCCUUUGCCUAGCUGUAGCAAAAGCUCUCAUCUCUGAAAACGGCUUGCUAGUAUUUGGAAUCAACAGGUUUUUUGCCACUUUUGACAUAGCUCCUCUGCGGCAGCAAGAAUAGCGCUCUGUUCUUCUGCGGGCACAAGGGUUCCAGCAUCCAGGCCCUCACCAAUGGUCCUUACCCUGUUUAUGGAUCUGGCUUCAAUCCAAGACAAACCUGACUUAUGUGAUGGUCUCCCAUUAUCAGCAGCGAAAGGUGCUUCUGAUGUAGGGACAUACGCAAUAUAGAAGUUUUCCAUAUUGUGAGGAUUCCAGUGUUAAUUCUGGAAUGCCAAGGAAAAUGGAAGCUGGAAAGAAAAGGAAGGUUCACAGUUCCCAGGAAUAAAUGCUCCAUCUUUAUCUUCUGUGAACCUUCUAGACUUCGCCAGGUGGAGAGAAAGGUAGGUAGGUUUUAUUGCAAUACCAACAAAGGUAAACUUAAACACUUUUAGAAAGACAAAGGUACCUUCCAAAGGAACUGGACUGUAAAGUUUACCUUUGUGAUCUCUUAAAACAAACAGCCCAAGGAUGCAGAAUUGAAAAGCCUCAGGUGACCGUCUGUUUGCACAAAGUAAAGUGUUUCCUCUGUAUGCUGAACAUUCAAAUCUUUCACAAUCAAUCACCUCUCCAAUUCCAUCAUCUCUCCUAUUAAAAUUUAUCAAGCAGUUAAAAAAAAAAA